CUCAAAUAACAAUGUGACUGCAAUCUGGAUAUAAAAGUUGCAAGAUUAGAAAGCUAAUACAUUCCCUGAUUUCAGUCAGUAAAGAAUGCUGCUUUGUGUGUGUGUGUGUGUGUGUGUGUGUGUGUGUGUGUGGUUACAAAAGUUGGAUGUCGAGCAGUGGCACUUACGCAAGGUCUAUGGUCCUUUGGAGAAUUGAGA
Molecule: non-coding RNA, 198 nt
Organism: Podarcis lilfordi (Lilford's wall lizard)
Lineage: Eukaryota; Metazoa; Chordata; Lepidosauria; Squamata; Lacertidae
Source: the annotation of a GenBank genome assembly